GAACGCUGGCGGUAGGCCUAACACAUGCAAGUCGAACGGCAGCACAGUAAGAGCUUGCUCUUACGGGUGGCGAGUGGCGGACGGGUGAGGAAUACAUCGGAAUCUACUUUUUCGUGGGGGAUAACGUAGGGAAACUUACGCUAAUACCGCAUACGACCUACGGGUGAAAGCAGGGGAUCUUCGGACCUUGCGCGAUUGAAUGAGCCGAUGUCGGAUUAGCUAGUUGGCGGGGUAAAGGCCCACCAAGGCGACGAUCCGUAGCUGGUCUGAGAGGAUGAUCAGCCACACUGGAACUGAGACACGGUCCAGACUCCUACGGGAGGCAGCAGUGGGGAAUAUUGGACAAUGGGCGCAAGCCUGAUCCAGCCAUACCGCGUGGGUGAAGAAGGCCUUCGGGUUGUAAAGCCCUUUUGUUGGGAAAGAAAAGCAGCAGGUUAAUACCCCGCUGUUCUGACGGUACCCAAAGAAUAAGCACCAGCUAACUUCGUG
RNAcentral lists this ribosomal RNA (489 nucleotides) under uncultured bacterium. RNAcentral's name for it is "partial 16S ribosomal RNA". It matches the Rfam family "Bacterial small subunit ribosomal RNA", at positions 31 to 507 of the family's 1533-position model. The record is from RNAcentral.